GAUGAAUAACGCAGCGAAAUGCGAUAAGUAGUGUGAAUUGCAGAAUUCAGUGAAUCAUCGAAUCUUUGAACGCACAUUGCGCCCCUUGGUAUUCCAUGGGGCAUGCCUGUUCGAGCGUCAUCUACAACCCUCAAGCCCUGCUUGGUGUUGGGCGUCUGUCCCGCCCCCGCGCGCGGACUCGCCCCAAAUCCAUUGGCGGCGGCCCUUGCCUCCCUCUCGCGCAGCACAUUGCGCUUCUCGAGGCGUCGCGGGCCGCGCUCCACGAAGCACGCAAACCAGUCUUUGACCUCGGAUCAGGUAGGGAUACCCGCUGAACUUAAGCAUAUCAAUAAGCGGAGGA
Molecule: unclassified non-coding RNA, 340 nt
Filed under: soil metagenome
Description: partial contains 5.8S ribosomal RNA, internal transcribed spacer 2, and large subunit ribosomal RNA
Rfam family: 5.8S ribosomal RNA (bases 1-120)
Source: RNAcentral